RNAcentral lists this ribosomal RNA (497 nucleotides) under uncultured bacterium. Its description in RNAcentral is "partial 16S ribosomal RNA". It matches the Rfam family "Bacterial small subunit ribosomal RNA", at positions 28 to 507 of the family's 1533-position model. The record is from RNAcentral.
GAUGAACGCUGGCGGCGUGCCUAAUACACGCAAGUCGAGCGAACGGACGAGAAGCUUGCUUUUCUGAUGUUAGCGGCGGACGGGGGAGUAACACGUGGAUAACCUACCUAUAAGACUGGGAUAACUUCGGGAAACCGGAGCUAAUACCGGAUAAUAUUUUGAACCGCAUGGUUCAAAAGUGAAAGACGGUCUUGCUGUCACUUAUAGAUGGAUCCGCGCUGCAUUAGCUAGUUGGUAAGGUAACGGCUUACCAAGGCAACGAUGCAUAGCCGACCUGAGAGGGUGAUCGGCCACACCGGAACUGAGACACGGUCCAGAAUCCUACGGGGGGAAGCAGUAGGGAAUCUUCCGCAAUGGGCGAAAGCCUGACGGAGCAACGCCGCGUGAGUGAUGAAGGUCUUCGGAUCGUAAAACUCUGUUAUUAGGGAAGAACAUAUGUGUAAGUAACUGUGCACAUCUUGACGGUACCUAAUCAGAAAGCCACGGCUAACUACGUG